Long non-coding RNA from Cynara cardunculus var. scolymus (artichoke), 459 nucleotides. RefSeq lists it as uncharacterized. The record is from RefSeq and is a predicted model, not a curated record. The transcript is spliced from 5 exons. NCBI's taxonomy places the organism in Eukaryota, Viridiplantae, Streptophyta, Magnoliopsida, Asterales, Asteraceae.
AGACGACGCUUCAUCCGUUCGAUACAGGGUUUUUAGUGAUGCGUAUCGCUCUCAGUCUUCCUAUGUCGCUCCAUACUCUCGAUUCAUCCUAUAUCGCUUCAUGCUCUYGCUUGAUACUCUUGAUUCAGAUUUACACAGCUGCAGUUUCGAAAUGGAAGUCUUUGAAAACCAGGAGACUGCAAAAUUGGGGGGGGAUUGCCCAUUCUCUUUCCUUGWGACGAUUACACCGAAAAGAGUGUUCGAUAUAUCACUAGGUUGAUAUAGAUUUAUGGAUACCGAAGCUUCAAGGGGAAAUUCAAGUUGGAAUGGGUCGARCCGGAGAGCUUCGCUACCCAUAUUACCCAGAGAAAGACGGAAUAUGGAAAUUCCCUGGAACUGGAGCCUUCCAGUGUUAUGACAAUGUGUAAUAAGUGAUAACAUUCUUGUCUAUACAUGCUUUUUGUUGAUAAAGGUUUAUAU